Molecule: ribosomal RNA, 497 nt
Filed under: uncultured bacterium
Lineage: Bacteria
Description: partial 16S ribosomal RNA
Rfam family: Bacterial small subunit ribosomal RNA
Source: RNAcentral
GAUGAACGCUGGCGGCGUGCCCAAUACAUGCAAGUCGAGCGAACGGACGAGAAGCUUGCUUCUCUGAUGUUAGCGGCGGACGGGUGAGUAACACGUGGAUAACCUACCUAUAAGACUGGGAUAACUUCGGGAAACCGGAGCUAAUACCGGAUAAUAUUUUGAACCGCAUGGUUCAAAAGUGAAAGACGGUCUUGCUGUCACUUAUAGAUGGAUCCGCGCUGCAUUAGCUAGUUGGUAAGGUAACGGCUUACCAAGGCAACGAUGCAUAGCCGACCUGAGAGGGUGAUCGGCCACACUGGAACUGAGACACGGUCCAGACUCCUACGGGAGGCAGCAGUAGGGAACCUUCCGCAAUGGGCGAAAGCCUGACGGAGCAACGCCGCGUGAGUGAUGAAGGUCUUCGGAUCGUAAAACUCUGUUAUUAGGGAAGAACAUAUGUGUAAGUAACUGUGCACAUCUUGACGGUACCUAAUCAGAAAGCCACGGCUAACUACGUG